GAAGUGUCCAUGCGUGAACAAGAUAACUGUAGUCUUCUAGUUGGCCGUUAACAAAUACUUCAAGUUCUUCCAGACGAUCAAUACCCAACUGAGCAUGAAUAGUUGACGGUUUCUCAUCGAAUUCGAUUGGCUGUGACAGUUUUGCAGACACAUAGAUUUCAAGAGUCUCGCACUCGAACGACAGUCCCACCCGUAUAUAUUUAUCCCAGCAAAUACAUCCCACAUAACCCCACAGCUUCUCAAUC
Molecule: long non-coding RNA, 245 nt
Filed under: Linum usitatissimum (flax)
Lineage: Eukaryota; Viridiplantae; Streptophyta; Magnoliopsida; Malpighiales; Linaceae
Description: long non-coding RNA (LUSI_LNC000510)
Source: RNAcentral